RNAcentral lists this non-coding RNA (29 nucleotides) under Homo sapiens (human). The record is from RNAcentral. Lineage: Eukaryota; Metazoa; Chordata; Mammalia; Primates; Hominidae.
UAACCUAAGGGAUGCCAUGGUUUGGCUGA